GACGAACGCUGGCGGCGUGCUUAACACAUGCGAGUCGAACGGCAAGGCCCUGCUUGCAGGGUACUCGAGUGGCGAACGGGUGAGUAACACGUGGGUGAUCUGCCCUGCACUUUGGGAUAAGCCUGGGAAACUGGGUCUAAUACCGGAUAGGAGCCAUUUUUAGUGUGAUGGUUGGAAAGUUUUUUCGGUGUAGGGUGAGCUCGCGGCCUAUCAGCUUGUUGGUGGGGUAAUGGCCUACCAAGGCGGCAACGGGUAGCCGGCCUGAGAGAGUGGACGGCCACAUUGGGACUGAGAUACGGCCCAGACUCCUACGAGAGGCAGCAGGGGGGAAUAUUGCACAAUGGGCGCAGGCCUGAUGCAGCGACGCCGCGUGGGGGAUGACGGCCUUCGGGUUGUAAACACCUUGCGCGAGGGACGAAGCUUUUUGUGACGGUACCUAGAGAAGAAGCACCGGCUAACUACGUG
RNAcentral lists this ribosomal RNA (465 nucleotides) under uncultured bacterium. RNAcentral describes it as "partial 16S ribosomal RNA". It matches the Rfam family "Bacterial small subunit ribosomal RNA", at positions 28 to 507 of the family's 1533-position model. The record is from RNAcentral.